This is a long non-coding RNA of Salvia splendens (bonfire salvia), 1896 nucleotides long. RefSeq lists it as uncharacterized. Lineage: Eukaryota; Viridiplantae; Streptophyta; Magnoliopsida; Lamiales; Lamiaceae. The transcript is spliced from 3 exons. The record is from RefSeq and is a predicted model, not a curated record.
UUCCAUUGUGUCGCACAAGCUGAUCAGGCGCUGACUCUUUCUCAGUGGUUCGCUGACUUUGCUUCAGCGGCCCGUUGGGCUGUGCACUGCCAUCGAUUUUCAUGCCCGAGGUACUGUCUUCGGACAGUGACUUCUUUGCAUCCUAAUUUUGGUUGAUGUUGGCAGCCUUGGCAGCAACCUUAACUUUCUCCUCCUUCAUCUUCUUCUGGACUUGAUCCAUUUUUAUCUUAAGGAUAUACACAGUGGAUGCAACAGUGUUUAACCCAAUUUCGAGCUUAUUCAAUCUUUCCUCUACAAAUCCAAUCUUGGCCUCGUUGUUUUUUCUAUCCUCAAGCAUUACCUCCAAGAUCAUUUGGAUGUCAGCCUCAAAUUUGUUUUCCUUGGUAAGUGGCUCCACUCCUUUCUCUUUGCUUACAUUGAACCCUGCAGGAGAUUGGAAAAAAUUAUGAUUAUUAGCAUGGGAUACAUUUGGAUGUGGGUGAUUUCCAUUAUAAUUAUUAAAACUACCACCCCCUGACUAGGGCGAUAAUUAUUAUUAUAAAGCCUGUUGGGAUCAUCCCCAUUUUGGACAUAUUUGACAUCUCUGAUGCCAUUCCCUUCUUUGCUUCAAGUUUCUAAUUUUUCAAGUCUUGCUCUGAUGGAUGCCAAUUCCUGAGAUGUUUCAUUCCCAUAUGGUCUCUUCACUGCAUCUACCCUCUCGGCUUUAUGUUUUUCCUUGGACCAACCCCGACUGUUGGUCGCUAAUUCCUCUAUCACCUCCAUAGCAGCAACUCCUCCUUUCCCCAAGAAUCCCCCAUUAGCCCUUGAAUCCAACAAACUAGAAAUUUUUUCGAUAAACCAUUAUAAAGGAUUCCUACCUGAUGGUCUAUUCCAAAACUAUGGUUUAGGCAUUUACGGAGAAGAGCUUUGAAACAUGCGAGAGCUUCAUAUAGAGGCUCAUCGGGUCCUUGCAUGAAUUGGAAGAUCUCACACUUAAGCUUUAGCAUGGUGUCAGGCGGGUAGUACUUGUCGAGGAAGAGUACCACUAGAUCCUUCCAAUUGGUGGUUUUAUCUGCAGGCAGACAAUCAUACCAUUCUUUAGCAGCAUCAGUUUAGGAAAAGGGAAAAAGUCUUACACUCACAAUAUCAUCAUCAACACAAUUGAUCUUAGUUGUAUUAGUUAUUUCCACGAACUUGGUGAGAUGUCGAUUUGCGUCCUCAGUGUCUCUUCCUACGAAGGCAUUUUGUUCAACUCUAUUGAUCAAGGGUAUCCCCAACUUGAAUUUGUUGGCCUCUAUCUGCGGACCUACAGGUAUAUCCACAAUGUUACCAUGACUAAACAUAUUCAUAACUGGAACUACCUCCCUUGCACGUUUUUCUUUUUCAGCUUUUGCUCGAGCUCUCUCUACUUGCAUCUCUUCCACCUCCUUUCGGAAGCGACGAUAAGAUCAUGGUUGGUCAGGUUGCGAGUUGGCAUUCUUCACUUCAAUUUCCUUUGAUUCCCUCUGUCUGCCGCAGGCGUCGCAGGUCAACUCCGCCUCCGGCCUAUCUGGGCUUGGCGUGGAGGCCAUGAACUCCCCGCAGCCAUCGACCGCAUGGAGUCCGAGAUGAGCUGCAUGGUUAUUCAUGCACUCCAUGUAGACGACUCCAUCUUCAUCCCUCGGGGCAAAUUGUUGUCUGAGCACAAUUAUCUUUUUCGCCAUUGCCUGAUUUUUCUUUCAAAAUUAAGUUACAAAGUAUAAAAAUGAUAGAACAGUUUGUAUCAUGAAGAAGAAUUGAACACACAAGGAUGCAUAUGUAUUUAUAUACAUAAUCAUCCACUAAAAUGCAAAAUUGGUCACUUGCUCAAAUUAUAUUUUGGUUUGAUACAUUAAAUGUGUAAUUAGCUUUUCAUCAUUAACAAAAUAUUUUGGUUUA